This 468-nucleotide ribosomal RNA is filed under the name uncultured bacterium. RNAcentral's name for it is "partial 16S ribosomal RNA". It matches the Rfam family "Bacterial small subunit ribosomal RNA", at positions 28 to 507 of the family's 1533-position model. The record is from RNAcentral.
GACGAACGCUGGCGGCGUGCUUAACACAUGCAAGUCGAACGGAAAGGCCCUGCUUUUGUGGGGUGCUCGAGUGGCGAACGGGUGAGUAACACGUGAGUAACCUGCCCUUGACUUUGGGAUAACUUCAGGAAACUGGGGCUAAUACCGGAUAUGAGCUCCUGCUGCAUGGUGGGGGUUGGAAAGUUUCGGCGGUUGGGGAUGGACUCGCGGCUUAUCAGCUUGUUGGUGGGGUAGUGGCUUACCAAGGCUUUGACGGGUAGCCGGCCUGAGAGGGUGACCGGCCACAUUGGGACUGAGAUACGGCCCAGACUCCUACGGGAGGCAGCAGUGGGGAAGAUUGAACAAUGGGCGGAAGCCUGAUGCAGCAACGCCGCGUGCGGGAUGACGGCCUUCGGGUUGUAAACCGCUUUCGCCUGUGACGAAGCGUGAGUGACGGUAAUGGGUAAAGAAGCACCGGCUAACUAAGUG